GUGCACCAGGCGCGAAAACUGGCCAAUGCGCGAAAGCGUGAGCCGGCUAGUCCGAGUGAUAGCCCAUCGGCUAUCUUUUGUCAAGUGUUUAUAGCUUGGCGAAUAAUGAGAGGGCAAGACUGGUGCCAGCCGCCGCGGUAAAACCAGCUCUUAGAGUGGUGAUCAUGUUUAUUUGGCUUAAAGGGUGCGUAGCAGGACAGCGUAAGUCCCCUGUGAAAUGCUCGGUCUUAAGCCGAGCGCGGGCAGGGGAUACUGUGCGUCUUGGGACCGGGAUAGGUGUAAUGUACGCGUUGGGUAGGGGUGAAAUCCGAUAAUCCAACGCGGACAACCGGUGGCGAAGGCGUUACACUGGAACGGGUCCGACUGUGAGGCACGAAAGCUAGGGUCGCGAGCCGGAUUAGAUACCCCCGUAGUCC
This 416-nucleotide ribosomal RNA is filed under the name uncultured euryarchaeote. RNAcentral's name for it is "bacterial SSU rRNA". It matches the Rfam family "Archaeal small subunit ribosomal RNA", at positions 330 to 747 of the family's 1478-position model. Lineage: Archaea; Methanobacteriati; Methanobacteriota. The record is from RNAcentral.